UUUUGGACAAUGGGGGAAACCCUGAUCCAGCCAUUCCGCGUGUGCGAUGAAGGCCUUCGGGUUGUAAAGCACUUUUGGCAGGCAAGACAUCGCACAAAUUAAUACUUUGUGUGGAUGACGGUACCUGCAGAAUAAGCACCGGCUAACUACGUGCCAGCAGCCGCGGUAAUACGUAGGGUGCAAGCGUUAAUCGGAAUUACUGGGCGUAAAGCGUGCGCAGGCGGUUCGGAAAGAGUGGUGUGAAAUCCCAGGGCUUAACCUUGGAACUGCCCUUUUAACUCCCGAGCUAGAGUAUGUCAGAGGGGGGUGGAAUUCCGCGUGUAGCAGUGAAAUGCGUAGAUAUGCGGAGGAACACCGAUGGCGAAGGCAGCCCCCUGGGAAGAUACUGACGCUCAUGCACGAGG
This 404-nucleotide ribosomal RNA is filed under the name uncultured bacterium. RNAcentral's name for it is "bacterial SSU rRNA". It matches the Rfam family "Bacterial small subunit ribosomal RNA", at positions 362 to 758 of the family's 1533-position model. The record is from RNAcentral.